Long non-coding RNA from Erinaceus europaeus (western European hedgehog), 496 nucleotides. RefSeq lists it as uncharacterized. Lineage: Eukaryota; Metazoa; Chordata; Mammalia; Eulipotyphla; Erinaceidae. The record is from RefSeq and is a predicted model, not a curated record. The transcript is spliced from 2 exons.
UUAAGGGAUUACUUGUAUAGUUCUGAUUUUUUUUAAUGUUAAACCAAUUUUAUCAUGUUCAGCUACAUGGUUAGAGCUGCCAAAUUAAAUAAUAUUGAAUGGACUUUAUCUGAGUUUGUAUUUGCAUAUUUUGGGGACUUACUUGAUAUUUCUCCUUACUUUGUUUAUUACUUGUUUCCAAGUUUCUCAAUGAAAAAUACUACUACUAAUAAUAAUAAAACUAGCAUGUGGGGAGUCAGGCGGUAAUGCAGUGGGUCAAGUGCACAUGGCACAAAGUGCAAGGAUCGAUAUUACGAUCCUGGUUCGAGCCCCCAGCUCCCCACCUGCAGGGGGUGUCUCUUCACAAGCAGUGAAGCAUGUCUGCAGGUUUCUAUCUUUCUCUCCCUCUUUCUGUCUUCCCCUCCUCUCUCUAUUUCUCUCUGUCCUAUCCAACAACGACAACAAUAAUAACCACAACAAUAAAACAAGGGCAACAAAAGAAAAUAAAUAAAUAAAA